Molecule: long non-coding RNA, 626 nt
Organism: Amphimedon queenslandica
Lineage: Eukaryota; Metazoa; Porifera; Demospongiae; Haplosclerida; Niphatidae
Exons: 5
Source: RefSeq, a predicted model, not a curated record
AUCUAUAAUGAUAAUGUGGUUCUUAUUGUAGAAUGUAUAGACUGUUAUCUGAGGAGGAGAGGGAGGACUCAUUUUGGGAGACCAUUGAAGACGUGGCCAAUAAACUGUUCCUUAUACCUUGUCUACCUGAAGGACUCCUCUCAUUAGAAGUAACUCUACCUAGUUGUUCAUUACCAACAAUCAUUAUGCCACCCAGAGGAGAUCUUCAUCUUACACACAAAUAUACACAUUGUAGGUAGAGGUAUUCAGAAGAUAUUGAAGGUGUGGCCACAGACCAGUGUCCCGCCCCCUCAGAUUUACUACUUGAUGUUAGCUCCAAUCCCAGUACAGAUUGGACUCAAUAGGUCAAUGGAAAUGAAAGAGAGGGACAGAAUGGGGACAUCAAAUUCAUUCUAUCAAAGGAUGUGGUAUCUUGUGAGGCCAGUCAUUCCCUAGCAGUGUGUGUCUUACUGGGUGUCUGGUCUAUGACUAUUGAGCUAUUGGGACGGGUUUGUCCUGCCGAGUCAGUUGGUAAACUCAAGCACUCAAUAUUCAACCAGUUGCAAGUUGUUUCUUGAAUGGGAGAAGACUCUGUUGUUGCUAUGGCAAGUUCAUUUAGGCUCUGAUGAGGACUUUAUUAAUGAACA